GUACAGUGAAAGUGAAUAAUGCAUUAAGAAAACUUUAAAUUUACGCGUCGUUAAUCUUGAACCCAUUUGUUAGUUAGCUCUAUGCUUGGUAAAACAAGCGCCUGAUGUUUUUACUCGGCAUGUUUAUUCUUUUUUUGGAAAACAAAAAAAGAGCUGCGGUUUCUUAAUUCGUUUACUUCUUUCUUCCCCCCAUAUCCGUCGUCAUUAGCAUCAGUUCGCAGUUUUGGAAUUAAAAAUCUAAAUUAUUAGCAAAAGGAAGGAAAAAAAAAACACUUUACAAAAAUGCCAAGGGUCUUCCCCACAGGGAUCUCCGGAAAACCCAGUAACCAUCCAGGAGGAAAGUUCAUAAAUAACGAUGUCGAGUACAGUUCAUUCGCAGAACAUUUAAAUCACGAAAUAACAUCAUACGAGAUGACCAUUACUUUUGAACUUGGAUAGCCAGUAAACCGGAAUGUCAAAGUCUUCAAACGAACUCAAAUGCGCCUUCAAAAUCGCAUCAUCACCAUCAGCAUCAUCAUAAUAAUAAACAGUGCUAACAAAGUCACAAUUAAACUGCAGUAUCAACAUUACAAUUCAAUGGCGAAUUCAGGCCUGCCACAUGAAGGUACACCUUGCUAAACGUGUUACCCCCUUACCUGCAUUCCUUAGUUUCUUGUUCUUGUACACGGAGAAUAUAACCAAAAGGUUUCCCAAAAUAUCAACCACGAUUGUAAAGAUCAGAAAGCUGCCCAAAGUCGUAGCGACCCAGGGGGGGCGAUUCAAAGUUAGCUCCCGGGGGACCAGUGAAGUGGUGUUCAGAUAGCUCCCAUUUAUUCUCAUUUUACCUUGUCUACUUUACUUUCUCAAUCAGCAAAAGAAAUCAUGUGUCCCGCGUGUCUUCUAAGAUGUGAAAUCAAAGCUGAGGCGUUGUUCUGCAAUGACCUGUUCCUGUCGCCAUGGUGUAACUUAAAUCCUCGGCUUGCCAGCUAACUUUUUUUUGGGGGGGGGUUUCAAGUGCACAUGUUGUCGGAGACUACACUGUUACAGCUUUGUGUCUGCCCAUCACACUGUUGGUAUGUGACAUCCAGCGCUAUCCUCUCGGCUUUCUUCGAUUUGUGAUAGAAGUGGAGCUGCCUAGCACCGGGGAAGCGCUGCCCCCUUGUGGACACAGUCGGCAGAUGCCGGAGCGGAACCCUAUCCACGUCUAUGAAUUCCUCCAGCUACUGUAGUUCACUCUUCUCCACGCCCAAACCACAGAUCAGUAGUGAUUCGGGUGCUCGUCCAGUAUUACUUCACAGUCGCGCACGCUUUAUUCAUUCGGGUAUUGGUUAAUUCAUUCGUCUGUGGCAGGAAAAGAGGAAAGACAUGGAGAAAGUACAUGGAGAAAAAAUACCAGCUGUAAUCUACUGUAUAAAGAAAAACAAUCGAUUUCUUUUAGGCUAUUGGAAAGCGAAUAACUGAACAAAACGAACUGCAAACACCUCGUGUUUAUUGUUAUUAGCAGUAAAUAUAAAGACAAAGAGAUGUGUCAAAAUUGCCCCGGGUUGUAAAUCAUAAUUAAAUAGCUAUGCAUUGAAUUUAACACGUAAAAAAAUGUGAAGCCUGAAGUGCACGACUUCCAUGAAUGGGUGGUGGGAAAUUUUAAUUCUUUCUAAGGAGACAUAAUCUCAGCGUCACAGUCAGCGAUUGCCACUAAGAACAAUAAUGAGGAAAAAGGUAUCGGCAGUAAACCUGAAAGACUUGCGCAACCUGGGCUGGUUCCGUGCGAAACACAUCUGCCCCACAGUUCCUCUUCCAAACCUGAAACCUAACAUUACAAUACGGUACGCGGACUGCACGACUGGCUUCCAGUAAAGAGCGAGUGUACAGGAUGUCCGAUUUCCAGAUAGAGAGCAAAGGGAAGAGAAAACAGUUUACAAGGCGACGUCGCGCUUCAGAUGAGCUCCAGCAGGUCCGCCGAGUCCCAGUGUCCCUCCUGGGUGAUGAAAACCGAGCUGACUCUUUGAAGACCCGAGGACAAUCGCAGCGGGCCAGUCUGACAGGCAACUAGAAACUAGAGGAAAAUGUGCCUUAACGCGCCUGGCAGAGGGCUGAGCUCCUGGCCUCCGGACGAGGGGACCGAGACGCGUAGUCGAGGAGGAGCAGGGAUCCAGGAGACAGGUGAAGGUGAUAACUGGAUGACGUUUAGUAACUUUUUUUAAAUGUGAAGAAAUGACGUCAGGGGCGAUUGCGAACGACUGACGGCUGGGUCUGAUUGAACGUGGCCAUUUUCUCUCCUCCCGAACUUUCCCCUAUAAACUCCAUUUUCGCGGUGGCGGGCAUAAAAUGUCAGGACGAGCACAAAGGGCACAAGGUUAAUCAGUUAGUUAGUGAACUGGAAACUACAGGAGGUGAGGGAGUAAGUCAUCCAUCACGUAUAGACGAAAACGUCAGCCCCUAACUAAUUAACUUACGUUAACAGACAGGGAGGAUCUCCAGUGCCCAGGCUUGUGCUUGGAUACUGGCCCACUGCCUCGGCUUGUGGGAAGCGAGUUCAGGCUGCCCCGGCCUCUCCUACUCACUGGGUCAGAGAUUCUGUGUACUGCCUCUUCUCAGACUGGAGGAAGUGAGACCUCUGUUCUUAGUGGCUCGAGUGAUAAAUAACAGGUCUUCCUCUUAGAAUCUCUUACUCUUCCCUUGGCAGCCUGAUGCCUCCAAACCAUUCCUUAUAGAAAGUAUCACUGCACCUCUUCCUUGACAGAUUCCAGGGGACCCAAGGCACUGCCCCUCUUUCCUGUCUCUUCUCUGUCCUCUCUGUGUUUCUGUGCCCUGUACACACUUUCCCAAGCAAGUGUGAGGAUGCAGGUGGGUGUCCACGAAGGACAGUGUAUGUAGGCUCCCGAAUGUCAGCUGUGUAUUUGUUAUUGUGUGAAAACAAUAAAAGGUUGGAAAGAAUCAGUGGGGUUAAUCUAUACAUUUUAUAGUGUAAUUAACGUUUAACUGUGUUAUGUUUGUUCAGCAAAUAACAUACAUUUGUAAAAACAGCUGCAUCAUUGUACCUUAUGACACUUUUUUAUUUUCCCUUUCAGACACCAAGGAUAAGACAGCUAAAGAGACACUAACUGAGUAAAAACAACAGUAAUAGAAACACUUCUUCUUUCCCUGAGCCUCUUGUCAUUAAAUAAAGCUUCUACACUCCUGCCUGCUCUGGAGGCAUUGCUGACUCAUUUGGCAACAGUGUACAAAUAUGUUUAUUGGCUUAUGUUUGAUGUUUUUAUGACACACACAAUCUUCACCAGAGGAGGCAAUACCAUUUUUAAUCAAUUGGGAUUUUGGUUUCUCCUUUUCUGCAAGGGAGAGAUUGUCCACAUGAAGAAUUUUAAUAACAGCAGGUAUUUCCUUCACGCGGUGUUCAGCACAGUCCCUUGGCAUAUAAACCAUGAAGCAAACCCCAUUUCCUUUUGGGAGAACAGCUGUAUCGAUAAUGUUCUUUCCGGGCUUGUUUGAAGGAUGGGUUAGCUGUUCCAUAUACCUACCCUACAAGCCUAACAUACAGUAAACCACAGUUUCAUUACCCCACAGGUUUCACCUUUUUAUUCAUGGUCUUUCUGCACGUUCUCUCUGCAAAGCUCCUGCAAUCACCAAGCUCUCUGAUCCCGGUGUGCCCCUCUCCUCUGUGAUCGUUACUGCAUGCCUGGCUUCAGUGUCUGGCUGCUGAUUGGAUAGUGGCUCUGCUUCACCUGCUCGACAGCCCACCUGGGGCACAGACUGUUAUGUUAUCAGGCUGACAGUGUAAUGUCUUGGUUAGGCUAUCAUCUGAUGGGAGAUUUAUGCUGUUAACAUUACUCAUAUUAAUAUAAGAUUUCAGCAGCCCCAAGAGUCAAAUCCUAUUAUGUGUUUGUAAAAAAAAAACAACCCACAGUAAUAUAAACACUUCUUCUUUCCCUAGGCUACCAAGUUAUUUUUCUUUAAAUGAAACUGCAGCUCUCCUGCCUGCUUCUGGAGACGGGUACAAGUUAAUAGGGCCACACUGAAUAUUCUUCACAGGAUUGCUGCCUUCACAAAAAUGAAGGAAAGAUUAAAAAAAUGUUAACCGUGUACUUUAUUUGUUGCAAUGCAUUCAUUUAUGUGCAAAGGAAGUAGACAACUUCAGAACUCUGCAGUCAGGCUCAAGUUUACUGAUGUGGGAAACCAGACAAAAGUUCACAGAAGUACUGUACUGUAUGUAUCUCAUAUUACAUUAACAAACAUCUUACUUGGAACUUAAGAAUUGUUUUAAUGUGCUAUAGCUUAUGUAAGCAUGUUCUGUGAAAUGACACUUGACACUUUUUCUUGUAUAAAAAUAAAUUUUAUUUUAUGCAAUAAAAUGUAUCAUGUUGUAUCAGGUGUUUUCUGACUUAUAGAUAUUUAAAGUAAUAUUUAAAUUAAAGUAAUUUCCAAAGCUAUUGUGAUUUGAUUAUAAGGAGACUUGAAAACAGUGCAUUAUCAUGUCAUUUCAAAUCCGUACAGAAAGCUUAUUUAAAUUUUCAAUAAAAAAAUGAUCUUGCUAUAGCUAUUUUGUAACCUUCUUUUUUAUGCUAUCAUUUGGCUUAUGAUCUAAGUCAUCUAGCAGAGCCCAGCAGGGAGAUCCGACCUCAGUUAACAGGUUUUGAGUUCUCCUGGAAGUUCAGUGCUUAGCCUCUGAAAGUUCAUGUCUCUGUAGGUUUCAAACAUACAGUGUAGCUGUUCUCUCUUUGUUUCCUAUUCAAGGGUCAUUAAAAGCCAUUUUACCACACAGUCUGAUCUCGUCUCAGUAGCCAAGCAGAGCUGGGCCUGGUCAGUACUGGUAUAGAUGGGAGGCCUCCUUCCUGUAUCUUACUCUGUUCCAUUUGCUUAUAAGCUCAUAAGCUCUGUCUGCUCUUAAGGAACUGUGAGUCAAGGCCUGCUGUAUACUACUGUACAGUAUGUGUCCAGGGUACCUCAGAGAUUACAGUAUUGCGCCAACGUCACUCUAAGCAGUUAUGGUGCACUUAAAGAUUUUAUCCUCUAGGUCUACUAUCUUUUUUCUAUGCAUUUCAGUUAUUAUUAGUGGUGUUCUAUUCAGAAGCACAGGCUGCACGUUCCACAUCAUUCUAAUGACAUAACAUUAUAAUAAAAUCGCAUUAAAUGAGCUCUUCACUAAUUGCCGUUGGUGAUCAACAUACUGUACUUGUGUACUUAGGUCGUACCGUCUCCAGCUUUUAAUGAAUUCACAUGCAUUAUCAGAGGGAGAUUCCGUGUCGUGAUCUUUAGGAGGAUACAUCGUUGAGAUAACAACUUAUACCAUUCGUUGAAUUUCAAAUGUAAGGUUAAUGUAUAAUAAGAAAGUCAAGCGGUGAGGUAAUGGGAUAAUAUGCUGUACAGUUAACAGGGAUAAAGAAGAGAGAAGAAAGCAGCUGUUUAACUGCCGCAAUGAUAAACCAAGAUACAGAGCUGUAGGCUUGACUUAACCAAUGAGACUACAACAGAUGUUCAACUGCCAAUAUUUUUAGCAACACCUCCAAGAACGUAGUAUCUGAAGUCACUUCAUGAUAGAACGAGACCUUAUUUUCAGACCAGUUUCCUGCCUCGUUACAUAAAUUAGACAGGGCUUGAGAAAUAUCCACAAUGGCAAUUUUCCUGGAUCCAUUAAAAAUAAAUAAAUAGGAUAACUACGGCUCUUCAGCAGGAAACACUUAGGAUGCAAUUAAAAUAUUGCUUUUUUAAUAGCUGACAUUAGACACCAAGAUCUUCACCCCAGUUCUCCUUGCAGCCAUGUGUUUUAGUUUUACUAAGUGCUUAUUUUACUGUUAUCUGGUCCAGCAAGUGUGAAGAUUUGCUUUUUUCGAUUACUUUUUUUCCUCAUCAUGAUCAUUAUCAUUUCACCGGGUCUAUCGCCAUAACUACGAUGACAGAACAAUGCUCACGCAAUUCCAAGCGACUGGCCUCCAGAAAUGUACGAACCGCCAGUUUUUCACAUCAUACAUCCAUCCUUCUCCACCAGCCUUGUCUUCCUACUUCUCCUCCUCACAAGCACACAAACAGCAUAAUGAAUCCACCGCAUGCUGACGCAGCUCCCUGCUUGAACUCUUUCUAGAACUCCUUUCUACCGACAACGAGCUGAAACAACGUUUGAAGAACGUUAUUACAUGGCUGAACAGAUGCAUA
Long non-coding RNA from Lepisosteus oculatus (spotted gar), 6123 nucleotides. RefSeq lists it as uncharacterized. Lineage: Eukaryota; Metazoa; Chordata; Actinopteri; Semionotiformes; Lepisosteidae. The record is from RefSeq and is a predicted model, not a curated record.